Molecule: microRNA precursor, 59 nt
Filed under: Daphnia magna
Lineage: Eukaryota; Metazoa; Arthropoda; Branchiopoda; Diplostraca; Daphniidae
Description: Dma-Mir-2-o2_pre stem-loop
Source: RNAcentral
AGAUAAUUUUGUCUGUGAAAUGCUGUUUAUGUGACAUAUCACAGAUGCAAUUAAUCUGA